This 905-nucleotide non-coding RNA is filed under the name Stumpffia pygmaea (Andoany stump-toed frog). RNAcentral's name for it is "12S ribosomal RNA". It matches the Rfam family "Bacterial small subunit ribosomal RNA". Lineage: Eukaryota; Metazoa; Chordata; Amphibia; Anura; Microhylidae. The record is from RNAcentral.
CAAAAGUUUGGUCCCAGCUUUAAACUCAACUACUACUCAACUUACACAUGCAAGUAUCCGCCCACCCGUGAAAACACCCUUACCCCUCACACAGGAAAAGGAGCCGGUAUCAGGCACAAUAAUAACGCCCAUGACACCUAGCCACGCCACACCCCCAAGGGCACUCAGCAGUGAUAAACAUUGCUCAUUAGCGCCAGCUUGACUCAGUCAGAGUAAAUAGGGCCGGCCAAUUCGGUGCCAGCCGCCGCGGCUAUCCCGCUUGGCUCAAGUUGACCUUAUCGGCGUUGAGCGUGGUUAAAGUACCCCCCCCCACCCUAGAGUUAAACCACAACCAAGUUGUAAUACACUUGUUUAUAAGAAACCCCUAAACGAAAGCUACUCUACCCCCACCUUGAACCCACGACAGCUGGAAUACAAACUGGGAUCAGAUACCCCACUAUGCCCAACCGUAAAAUAUCUACUCACACUAACAACCGCCCGGGAAUUACAAGACCCUUAAAACCCAAAGGACUUGACGGUGUCCCACCCACCUAGAGGAGCCUGUUCUAUCAUCGACACCCCACGAUCUACCUCACCACUCCUAGCACACUCAGUCUGUAUACCUCCGUCGUAAGCCUACCAUGUGAACGUCACAGUGGGCCAAAAGAUUCUCCACCCACACGUCAGGUCAAGGUGCAACUAACGGAACGGAAAGCAAUGGGCUACAAUUUCUAUCAUAGAACACACGAAAAACCAAAUGAAAUGCAGUCACGAAGGCGGAUUUAGAAGUAAAAAGAAAUCAGAAAACUCUUUUUAAUUAGGCCCUGGGACGCGUACACACCGCCCGUCACCCUCCUCAACAUACAUAGAGAGGAGGCAAGUCGUAACAUGGUAAGUGUACUGGAAAGUGCACUUGGACAAUCAAA